RNAcentral lists this ribosomal RNA (390 nucleotides) under uncultured bacterium. Its description in RNAcentral is "bacterial SSU rRNA". It matches the Rfam family "Bacterial small subunit ribosomal RNA", at positions 29 to 416 of the family's 1533-position model. The record is from RNAcentral.
AGUGAACGCUGGCGGCAGGCCUAAUACAUGCAAGUCGAACGGCAGCACGGCAGAGCUUGCUCUGUGGGUGGCGAGUGGCGGACGGGUGAGGAAUACAUGGGAAUCUGCCCAGUCGUGGGGAUAACGUAGGGAAACUUACGCUAAUACCGCAUGCGCCCUUCGGGGAAAGCCGGGGACCUUCGGGCCUGGCGCGAUUGGAUGAGCCCAUGUCGGAUUAGCUAGUUGGCGGGGUAAUGGCCCACCAAGGCGACGAUCCGUAGCUGGUCUGAGAGGAUGAUCAGCCACACUGGAACUGAGACACGGUCCAGACUCCUACGGGAGGCAGCAGUAGGGAAUAUUGGACAAUGGGCGCAAGCCUGAUCCAGCCAUGCCGCGUGAGUGAAGAAGGCC